UCCAUAUAUAAUAUGUAACAAUAAAUUCAUACCCUUUUACAAAAUAAUUUUGAAAAGAAUAUAUAAUUGAAAAGAAUGCAUCCUACAUGAAUUGUAGCAUUUAUUAAAUAAAUGUGUAUUUAUAUAUAGUUUAUUUCAACUAACAUGUGUACUUUCUUAAAUGGAUGCUCAAUUCAUAGUUAUUAAAGACUCAAGGCGCACUAAGGCACUAAGGGGUCCUGGAGCCUAGGCGCA
This 234-nucleotide unclassified non-coding RNA is filed under the name Hevea brasiliensis (rubber tree). The record is from RNAcentral. Lineage: Eukaryota; Viridiplantae; Streptophyta; Magnoliopsida; Malpighiales; Euphorbiaceae.